This is a long non-coding RNA of Beta vulgaris subsp. vulgaris (sugar beet), 3138 nucleotides long. RefSeq lists it as uncharacterized. The transcript has 2 exons. The record is from RefSeq and is a predicted model, not a curated record. Lineage: Eukaryota; Viridiplantae; Streptophyta; Magnoliopsida; Caryophyllales; Amaranthaceae.
UGGACAUAAUAUAUGCUGAUAAUAAAUUUGAUCGGAAAAUUUUAGUAUAGGUUUUUGACCCUGCAAAUUUCAUGGAAAUGAUAAAUUUAAGAUUUUAUGAUAGUUUCCCCAAAAAAUAUGUUGUAAAGUUCAUAAAUAUUUACCGAAAUAUUAUAAUUAAGCCUAUGUACUACAUAUAAUUUAAUCAAAGUAAAGAGUGAUUACGUUUUCCAUCAUUUAAAAAAAAAGUCAAAUUAAAGUAUCAAGAAGAUCAUAUAACAACGGAUGGAGUAUAAGUCAUAGCUAGGUACUAAUUAAUUUCGUGUUGUAGGAAGACUCCAAGGGUGCGUAAAAAUAAAAGAUUGGGUGUAAUACAAUUACUAAUUUACUUCUCUAUAAUCUUUAUCCCAAUACCCUUACAAACAACACGCCAAGGCACAAUUUAUAACUCUAAAACAUUCACAAUCCAAGACACAAUAAAGAAAAUAAUUUAACAUAACUAUAGUUUCUUGAAACUAUAUAUUUGAGAAUUAAUUGUAAAUAUAUCAAACAAAACAAUCAAAUAAAUGAAAUCAGGUGAUUGCUUCUAAAGGAAUUCAUAAGAUACACUAACUUGUCUUAUUUGUGGCGAAAAUUCACAAUGCUUAAGAUGCUUGAUUGAUUGGAUAUAUGCUUGAUUGAUAUAUAGUGUGAAUGAUGAGUAAAAGCUACUUAAAAAGCUUGUGCCGAACACGCCCUAAGUCAAUAACUUAUCCUCUAAAAAUAAAAGUCCCUAACUUAUUAUAUAACAUGAUCAGAGUAUAUCAUAUAUAGACCUGAUUAUUGGACAGGGUAGUCCAAUGACUACAUGGUUAGGGUCAAAUUUAAAGGUUUUUAUUAGACAUGAUCAUUGUUGGACAUGGUCGUUAUAGGACCGACAAAAUAUCCCAAAGAUUUUGAAAAAUAAAUUAGAUAUUGAAAAAAAAUUACAUGUAUGAAUUCCUGUCCAAUUACACUCACUUUUGUCUCUCUCCGUUCAUUAUUUUUCUUACCCGACUAUUAUCGGCCCGUAAUCGACCCACGAUCCACAUUUCGACCGACCUACCAGCGACCCCUUAUGAAUUGACCCUUAAUGACCCAACUCGCUACCUGCACCAACCCUGACCCGAUCCUCCAAAUAACAAUGUAUAAUUAUAUACAAUAAGAAUCCUAAUUUCAUCUUGGAGGUUGAUGGCCACGAAUUAGCAAUAAUUGUUGUCUAACUUUCAACAAACAAAACUUAUUCCCCAUCCCCUAAUAUCUAACUUAAGUAUAAGGGCCUAUUCUCCCCAGCUUAUUUUCAGUUCAGUUCAGUUCAGUUCAGCUCCAAUAAGUUCAGUUCAGUUAAGCUCCAAUAAGUUCAGUUCAGUUCAGUUCAGCUCCAUUCUUUUAUAAUUAUUUUGUUAGAUUUUAUUAUUAUGUUGGUAUAAUUUAUUUUACUAAUUACUCUUAUUAUUAUUAUUAUUUAUUAUUAUUAUAUUAUUAUUAUUAUUAUUAUUAUUAUCAUUAUUAUCAUGAUUAUUAUUAUUAUUAUUAUUUAAAUAUAUAUCAUUACUAUUAAGUAUUAUUAUUAUUAUUAUUAUUAUUAUUAUUAUUAUUAUUAUUGUUGUUGUUGUUGUUUCUAUAUAUUAUUUUGUUUAUUGUAGCUUUACUCAUUAUUAUUACUAUUAUUAUUAGGAGGAACAUGAUUUAGGUCAAAGCACAAAUAAACCCACUUUUUUUAGCCCAUAAACCAAUCAAAUCGCGUCAAGACGGUUUAUGAUGUAAUUUUUGCGGUCCAACCCAAUCAUUAUUUUUAUUACUAAAUAUUUUUAUAGUAUUAAAUCUAAUUAUUAAAAUAGUAAUAUUAAUUUACUUCUUAGAUAUUAUUUUUAUUAUAUAUCAUCAUCAAGUAUUAAUAUAUUAAUAAAAAUAAUAUAAAAUAAUUAUUAUUAAUUAUCAUUAUUAUCAUUAAUUAUUAUUAUUAUUAAUUUAUGAUUAUUAAUAUUAUUUAUUUAUAACUAUCAUUUAAAAAUAUCCAAAAUACUAUUAUUAUUAUUAUUAUUAUUAUUAUUAUUAUUAUUCAUUAUUAUUACUUAUCUUUAUAAUUAUUAUUUAAUAUUCAUAUUAUUCUUGUUUAAAAUAUUAUUUAUAUAUUUAUUACAUUCAAUUUAUUUCAAUUCAAUUUAAUUCAAUUCAGUUUAGUUCAGUUCAGUUCAGCUCUGAUAAGUUCAGUUCAGUUCAGUUCAGCUCCAAUAAGUUCAGUUCAGUUCAGUUCAGUUGUUUUAUGCCGAAGAGAACAUGCCCUAAGUAUGUGUUAUUACUAACUUGGAGGAAAUCCUUGAAUUUUAUUGAGAAACUAUUGCAGACAAUGACUUUCUUUUCUUUUUGUUAGCGUUUUAAAUGCACCAUUGUAAUUUAAAUGCACCAUUGUAAUUUUUCAUUUGGUAGCUCAUGACACUGUUAGCAUAAAGUAAUAAUAUAGCAUUAUUAGCUUCAUUUCCAGAUUAAAGUACUAAAAGAAUGGGUAAAACCAAACCAACCGAACCUUUGUCUCUUUAGUGAUCUUCUUGCCUGGUCUCAGUUAUUCGAUUAUCCUGAUCUAUACGAAAUCCAACAAAAAAGAAGGGGGGAAAUGGGGAGUUUGAUCUUUUCUCUCUCCGAAUUCUCAUACUGUAAAACACCGAUCUAAACCCAUCCUUCCUGGAAAAUUAGGGGAAAGUAGAGCGGAUGAUUCUAUUCAAAUUAAAUCGUCAAUUUGUUUUUAAAACCUUGAUUUUUCUGCUUAAAGUAUUAAUCUUUGAUCCAUUUUUGUAAGCUAAGAGUUGAGUUGAGUUGAGCAGUGAGAGAAAAUGAGAAAGCAUAUAUGACAACUUUCAUAUCACCCACUUCAAGUUGUAGCUAUUGCUGUGUUUUUAGCACUUGGGUUUUUCUUUUUUUUGCUUCCUUUGCUCCAAAUGCAUGGAGCAAUGGCGAAAAUUUUGAAUGGAUUCAUGGGUCAUUAGAAGUUGUUUGUGCAUUUGUGGACUAUGUAUAGCAUUACAGGUGACAAAUGUAAUAGGGUACUGUCAAAUUUUUAAUUUUGGAUUGUAAUUUUGCCAUGACUUUCGAAGUUUGAAUUCAUAGAAAUUAUAAUGGCAAUUUCAAACCGUCAUUCAUAAA